RNAcentral lists this long non-coding RNA (1420 nucleotides) under Arabidopsis thaliana (thale cress). Its description in RNAcentral is "potential natural antisense gene, locus overlaps with AT3G05930 (AT3G05932)". Lineage: Eukaryota; Viridiplantae; Streptophyta; Magnoliopsida; Brassicales; Brassicaceae. The record is from RNAcentral.
UUGCGAUUUUUUGAGAGUGAGAAAGAGCCAGCGAGGCCUGGAAACAAAAAGCGUGAAGGAGACCGUAGCAAGUAGGAAGAAGAAACCAGACCUGGCUUCGUCUCUGAUAGAUCGUCCAAUUUUCUAUCCGAAUUUUGGCCAACUGAUUCUGGUUUCGGUGGAUGAACAAUGAACAGAACGAGAGAGAUCCUGAUAACAUCAACAACAAGAAGAAGAAAAAGGAAUCUCCAUUGUUGAUUUACUCCGUCUCGAAAGCAAAGAAACGAAUCGUGUCUAAGUUCAGAAGGAGACCCUUAUCGCCGAAUACGUCUCCUUCUUCUGGGUUUUGGAAAAGAGUCUGCUUUUGUGGAAUUGAACCUGACCCUGAAGAUGACAACUUUAAGCUUAGGGUUCUGCUACAGACCAAUGAUUUCUUCUCCAAGGAUUCUAAUCCACAUCUCUGUUUAGUUGUAGCAUGCCUCUGUGUCCUUUUUUGAGACACGAUUUCCCUCUAAACUCAGCUGAAAGUUCAGCCAUUAAAUCUACUGGAUUGAAAGCACUAAAGAGGACCUUAAUAUUCUUGCAGUAUGCCCCGAACGCCUUGGCAAGCAGGUCAUCAGGAAUCGGUGGGUUAGAACCAAACAGAGAUGGUCCAACAACUUGAGUCCCGGGAAGCUGGCUAUCGAAAGCAGCGAGGACGGAAGCAGGAGCUUUGUUAGGGUUCUGCUGGAAAUGGAGGAGAGCUUUGGGGAAAACGAAAACGUCUCCUUUGUUGACGUGUUUGGAGAUGAGUUUCCCGGUAGUGGUUAAGAAACCGACGAAGAGACGGCCUUCAAGGACGAAGAUGGCUUCAGAGGCUCUUGGGUGAAGAUGUGGUGGGUUAAGUCCGCCAGGUGCGUAGUCGAUCCGAGAGAUGGAGACUCCCAGAGUGUUGAGGCCAGGCACUUUCUCAACGUUGGCUCCUGUAACAGCUGAGCCCAUUGAAGAGUUGGCUGUGGCUGCAGCAGUGGCUAAGCCUAUGAAGUAGAAGUCUUCUGGUGUUACUUUUGCUGGGUCUUUGCAAGGGUAUCCGUUGACUUUCAAACCUAAUCAGAACAUGAUAAAAAGUCAACAACAAAAUAUUGGAAUUGGUCUUGGUUGUUUCAAAACACCAAAGCUGCGUUUGCAGUUAACUAUAUCUGGUAAAUGUAAAUGCAAGCAGAACAUAAAUGGUAUAGAGAGAGAUGUGAUACCGUUGGAGAGAUCAGCAACACAAAAGUCUUGAAGCAUAUUUGUAUCGGCGAGGGCCAUGUGGGCGGCCACGAGCAUGAAGGUGACGAAUAUAGGGAUCAUGGAAGUUGCCAUUGUUGAUUGUUGUUGUUUGUAAGAUGUUAUUGAUGAGUUUGAGAAAAUACUUUAACAUUGUUUCUCAAUUUAUAUAUCUACGUAAAGAAGAUUUAAC